CACGUAGGGCGCAAGCGUUGUCCGGAAUUAUUGGGCGUAAAGCGCACGUAGGCGGCUUGCCAAGUCGGACGUGAAAUCCCUCAGCUCAACUGAGGACGUGCAUCCGAAACUGGCGAGCUUGAGUACUGAAGAGGAUCGCGGAAUUCCCGGUGUAGAGGUGAAAUUCGUAGAUAUCGGGAGGAACACCAGUGGCGAAGGCGGCGAUCUGGGCAGAUACUGACGCUGAGGUGCGAAAGCGUGGGGAGCAAACAGG
This 253-nucleotide ribosomal RNA is filed under the name uncultured bacterium. RNAcentral's name for it is "partial 16S ribosomal RNA". It matches the Rfam family "Bacterial small subunit ribosomal RNA", at positions 524 to 776 of the family's 1533-position model. The record is from RNAcentral.